UACGGAGAGUUUGAUCUUGGCUCAGAACGAACGCUGGCGGCGUGCCUAAUACAUGCAAGUCGAACGAGAAAGUCUGGCUUCGGCCGGGCGAGUAAAGUGGCGAACGGGUGAGUAACACGUGGGUAAUCUGCCCUCGAGUUUGGGAUAAGCCUUCGAAAGGAGGUCUAAUACCGAAUAAUAUCUUUAGAUGGCAUCUUCUUUAGAUCAAAGGCGGGGUAACCUGUCGCUUGAGGAUGAGCCCGCGCUCCAUUAGCUUGUUGGUGGGGUAAUGGCCCACCAAGGCUGUGAUGGAUAGCCGGCCUGAGAGGGUGAACGGCCACACUGGGACUGAGAUACGGCCCAGACUCCUACGGGAGGCAGCAGUAGGGAAUAUUGCGCAAUGGACGAAAGUCUGACGCAGCAACGCCGCGUGGAUGAUGAAGCAUUUCGGUGUGUAAAAUCCUGUCAGUGGGGACGAACCGGCCAGGUAGUAACUGCCCUGGUCCUGACGGUACCCGCAGAGGAAGUUCCGGCUAACUCCGUG
This 523-nucleotide ribosomal RNA is filed under the name Candidatus Zixiibacteriota bacterium. Its description in RNAcentral is "bacterial SSU rRNA". It matches the Rfam family "Bacterial small subunit ribosomal RNA", at positions 1 to 507 of the family's 1533-position model. Lineage: Bacteria; Pseudomonadati; Candidatus Zixiibacteriota. The record is from RNAcentral.